AUUGAACGCUGGCGGCAUGCUUUACACAUGCAAGUCGAACGGUAACAGGGAGCUUGCUCCGCUGACGAGUGGCGAACGGGUGAGUAAUAUAUCGGAACGUACCCAGAAGUGGGGGAUAACGUAGCGAAAGUUACGCUAAUACCGCAUACGAUCCACGGAUGAAAGUAGGGGACCUUCGGGCCUUAUGCUUUUGGAGCGGCCGAUAGCGGAUUAGCUAGUUGGUGAGGUAAAGGCUCACCAAGGCGACGAUCAGUAGCUGGUCUGAGAGGACGACCAGCCACACUGGAACUGAGACACGGUCCAGACUCCUACGGGAGGCAGCAGUGGGGAAUUUUGGACAAUGGGCGCAAGCCUGAUCCAGCAAUGCCGCGUGAGUGAAGAAGGCCUUCGGGUUGUAAAGCUCUUUUGUCAGGGAAGAAACGGCUGUGGCUAAUAUCCACGGCUAAUGACGGCACCUGAAGAAUAAGCACCGGCUAACUACGUGCCAGCCGCCGCCGUAA
This 500-nucleotide ribosomal RNA is filed under the name uncultured bacterium. RNAcentral describes it as "partial 16S ribosomal RNA". It matches the Rfam family "Bacterial small subunit ribosomal RNA", at positions 30 to 523 of the family's 1533-position model. The record is from RNAcentral.